AAGACCUUGUGCUUUUGGAGCGGCCGAUGUCUGAUUAGCUAGUUGGUGGGGUAAAGGCCUACCAAGGCGUCGAUCAGUAGCUGGUCUGAGAGGACGGCCAGCCGCACUGGGACUGAGACACGGCCCAGACUCCUACGGGAGGCAGCAGUGGGGAAUUUUGGACAAUGGGCGCAAGCCUGAUCCAGCCAUGCCGCGUGAGUGAAGAAGGCCUUCGGGUUGUAAAGCUCUUUCAGCCGGGAAGAAAAGGUUGCGAUUAAUAAUCGCAAUAUAUGACGGUACCGGAAGAAGAAGCACCGGCUAACUACGUGCCAGCAGCCGCGGUAAUACGUAGGGUGCGAGCGUUAAUCGGAAUUACUGGGCGUAAAGGGUGCGCAGGCGGUUUUGUAAGUCAGAUGUGAAAUCCCCGGGCUUAACCUGGGAACU
RNAcentral lists this ribosomal RNA (423 nucleotides) under uncultured bacterium. Its description in RNAcentral is "bacterial SSU rRNA". It matches the Rfam family "Bacterial small subunit ribosomal RNA", at positions 202 to 622 of the family's 1533-position model. The record is from RNAcentral.